UUGGUGUUACAACAGUCUGGUCCUC
This 25-nucleotide non-coding RNA is filed under the name Mus musculus (house mouse). The record is from RNAcentral. Lineage: Eukaryota; Metazoa; Chordata; Mammalia; Rodentia; Muridae.